CCCUUAGAUGUUCUGGGCCGCACACGCGCUACACUGGCAGGUUCAUCGAGCUUCAUGCCCUGAUCUGAGAAGAACGGGAAAUCUUUGAACACUUGCCGUGCUUGGGAUAGAUGUUUGCAAUUAUUCAUCUUCAACGAGGAUUGCCUUGUAAGCGCACGUCAUCAGCGUGCAUUGAAUACGACCCUGUAUUCUGUACACACCGCCCGUCGCUCCUACCGAUUGAAGUUUUCGGUGAAUUUACUGGAGAUCCCUUUUGAAGGUGGUUCGCCACUGGAAGAAGUAUUCAAAAGUAAAUGAAUCGAAUGCUUUAGAGGAAGGAGAAGUCGUAACA
Molecule: ribosomal RNA, 331 nt
Filed under: uncultured eukaryote
Lineage: Eukaryota
Description: partial 18S ribosomal RNA
Rfam family: Eukaryotic small subunit ribosomal RNA
Source: RNAcentral